This 468-nucleotide ribosomal RNA is filed under the name uncultured bacterium. RNAcentral describes it as "partial 16S ribosomal RNA". It matches the Rfam family "Bacterial small subunit ribosomal RNA", at positions 28 to 507 of the family's 1533-position model. The record is from RNAcentral.
GACGAACGCUGGCGGCGUGCUUAACACAUGCAAGUCGAACGGAAAGGCCCUGCUUUUGUGCGGUGCUCGAGUGGCGAACGGGUGAGUAACACGUGAGUAACCUGCUCUUGACUUUGGGAUAACUUCAGGAAACUGGGGCUAAUCUCAGAUCGGAGCUCCUGCUGCAUGGUGGGGGUUGGAAAGUUUCGGCGGUUGGGGAUGGACUCGCGGCUUAUCGGCUUGUUGGUGGGGUAGUGGCUUACCCAGGGUUGGACGGGUAGCCGGCCUGAGAGGGUGAACGGCCACAUUGGGACUGAGAUACGGCCCAGAGUCCUACGGGAGGCAGCAGUGGGGAAUAUGGCACAAUGAGCGGAAGCCUGAUGCAGCAACGCCGCGUGCGGGAUGACGGCCUUCGGGUUGUAAACCGCUUUCGCCUGUGACGAAGCGUGAGUGACGGUAAUGGGUAAAGAAGCACCGGCUAACUACGUG